ACGAACGCUGGCGGCAUGCCUCACACAUGCAAGUCGAACGAAGGCUUCGGCCUUAGUGGCGCACGGGUGCGUAACGCGUGGGAAUCUGCCCUUUGGUUCGGAAUAACAGCUGGAAACGGCUGCUAAUACCGGAUGAUGACGAAAGUCCAAAGAUUUAUCGCCAGAGGAUGAGCCCGCGUUGGAUUAGGUAGUUGGUGGGGUAAAGGCCUACCAAGCCGACGAUCCAUAGCUGGUCUGAGAGGAUGAUCAGCCACACUGGGACUGAGACACGGCCCAGACUCCUACGGGAGGCAGCAGUGGGGAAUAUUGGACAAUGGGCGCAAGCCUGAUCCAGCAAUGCCGCGUGAGUGAUGAAGGCCCUAGGGUUGUAAAGCUCUUUUACCCGGGAAGAUAAUGACUGUACCGGGAGAAUAAGCCCCGGCUAACUCCGUG
RNAcentral lists this ribosomal RNA (432 nucleotides) under uncultured bacterium. RNAcentral's name for it is "partial 16S ribosomal RNA". It matches the Rfam family "Bacterial small subunit ribosomal RNA", at positions 29 to 507 of the family's 1533-position model. The record is from RNAcentral.